This 875-nucleotide ribosomal RNA is filed under the name Salmonella enterica subsp. enterica serovar Welikade. Its description in RNAcentral is "partial 23S ribosomal RNA". It matches the Rfam family "Bacterial large subunit ribosomal RNA", at positions 416 to 1191 of the family's 2925-position model. Lineage: Bacteria; Pseudomonadati; Pseudomonadota; Gammaproteobacteria; Enterobacterales; Enterobacteriaceae. The record is from RNAcentral.
GGCGGGACACGUGGUAUCCUGUCUGAAUAUGGGGGGACCAUCCUCCAAGGCUAAAUACUCCUGACUGACCGAUAGUGAACCAGUACCGUGAGGGAAAGGCGAAAAGAACCCCGGCGAGGGGAGUGAAAAAGAACCUGAAACCGUGUACGUACAAGCAGUGGGAGCCCCACCACUAAGCCAGUGGUGAACUCCACAUACGCAUCCUUUGCUGAGGAUGCGGUUAACGGAGCGAAAGCGACGUUCAACCGCAAAAGAAGCAGAGGGGGCUUAGUGGUGGGGUGACUGCGUACCUUUUGUAUAAUGGGUCAGCGACUUAUAUUCUGUAGCAAGGUUAACCGAAUAGGGGAGCCGGAGGGAAACCGAGUCUUAAUUGGGCGUUAAGUUGCAGGGUAUAGACCCGAAACCCGGUGAUCUAGCCAUGGGCAGGUUGAAGGUUGGGUAACACUAACUGGAGGACCGAACCGACUAAUGUUGAAAAAUUAGCGGAUGACCUGUGGCUGGGGGUGAAAGGCCAAUCAAACCGGGAGAUAGCUGGUUCUCCCCGAAAGCUAUUUAGGUAGCGCCUCGUGAAUUCAUCUCCGGGGGUAGAGCACUGUUUCGGCUAGGGGGCCAUCCCGGCUUACCAACCCGAUGCAAACUGCGAAUACCGGAGAAUGUUAUCACGGGAGACACACGGCGGGUGCUAACGUCCGUCGUGAAGAGGGAAACAACCCAGACCGCCAGCUAAGGUCCCAAAGUCAUGGUUAAGUGGGAAACGAUGUGGGAAGGCCCAGACAGCCAGGAUGUUGGCUUAGAAGCAGCCAUCAUUUAAAGAAAGCGUAAUAGCUCACUGGUCGAGUCGGCCUGCGCGGAAGAUGUAACGGGGCUAAACCAUG